CCUACGGGUGGCUGCAGUGAGGAAUAUUGGUCAAUGGACGAAAGUCUGAACCAGCCAUGCAGCGUGAAGGAUGACGGCUCUAUGAGUUGUAAACUUCUUUUAUACAAGAAUAAACGGAGAUACGCGUACCUGUCUGAAAGUAUCGUAUGAAUAAGGAUCGGCUAACUCCGUGCCAGCAGCCGCGGUAAUACGGAGGAUUCAAGCGUUAUCCGGAUUUAUUGGGUUUAAAGGGUGCGUAGGUGGGCUGAUAAGUUAGUGGUGAAAGUUUGCGGCUCAACCUUAGAAUUGCAUUUGAUACUGUUCGGCUUGAGUACAGUUGAGGUAGGCGGAAUGUGUGGUGUAGCGGUGAAAUGCUUAGAGAUCACAAAGAACACCGAUUGCGAAGGCAGCUUACUAAGCUGCUUCUGACGUUGAUGCACGAAAGUGUGGGGAGCAAACAGGAUUAGAUACCCGUGUAGUC
RNAcentral lists this ribosomal RNA (460 nucleotides) under uncultured bacterium. Its description in RNAcentral is "partial 16S ribosomal RNA". It matches the Rfam family "Bacterial small subunit ribosomal RNA", at positions 338 to 795 of the family's 1533-position model. The record is from RNAcentral.